This 446-nucleotide ribosomal RNA is filed under the name uncultured bacterium. RNAcentral describes it as "bacterial SSU rRNA". It matches the Rfam family "Bacterial small subunit ribosomal RNA", at positions 331 to 794 of the family's 1533-position model. The record is from RNAcentral.
CCAGACUCCUACGGGAGGCAGCAGUGGGGGAUAUUGCACAAUGGGGGAAACCCUGAUGCAGCGACGCCGCGUGAGUGAAGAAGUAUUUCGGUAUGUAAAGCUCUAUCAGCAGGGAAGAAAAUGACAGUACCUGACCAAGAAGCCCCGGCUAACUACGUGCCAGCAGCCGCGGUAAUACGUAGGGGGCAAGCGUUAUCCGGAUUUACUGGGUGUAAAGGGAGUGUAGACGGUUAUGUAAGUCUGGAGUGAAAGCCCGGGGCCCAACCCCGGGACUGCUUUGGAAACUGUGUAACUGGAGUACAGGAGGGGCAGGCGGAAUUCCUGGUGUAGCGGUGAAAUGCGUAGAUAUCAGGAGGAACACCGGCGGCGAAGGCGGCCUUCUGGGCCACGACUGACGCUGAGGCGCGAAAGCUAGGGGAGCGAACAGGAUUAGAUACCCUUGUACU